This 458-nucleotide ribosomal RNA is filed under the name uncultured Novosphingobium sp. Its description in RNAcentral is "bacterial SSU rRNA". It matches the Rfam family "Bacterial small subunit ribosomal RNA", at positions 8 to 504 of the family's 1533-position model. The record is from RNAcentral. Lineage: Bacteria; Pseudomonadati; Pseudomonadota; Alphaproteobacteria; Sphingomonadales; Sphingomonadaceae.
AGAGUUUGAUCCUGGCUCAGAACGAACGCUGGCGGCAUGCCUAACACAUGCAAGUCGAACGAGACCUCACCUUCGGGUGAACGUCUAGUGGCGCACGGGUGCGUAACGCGUGGGAAUCUGCCCUUCGGUUCGGAACAACAGUUAGAAAUGACUGCUAAUACCGGAUGAUGACGUAAGUCCAAAGAUUUAUCGCCGAAGGAUGAGCCCGCGUAGGAUUAGCUAGUUGGUAAGGUAAAAGCUUACCAAGGCGACGAUCCUUAGCUGGUCUGAGAGGAUGAUCAGCCACACUGGGACUGAGACACGGCCCAGACUCCUACGGGAGGCAGCAGUGGGGAAUAUUGGACAAUGGGCGAAAGCCUGAUCCAGCAAUGCCGCGUGAGUGAUGAAGGCCUUAGGGUUGUAAAGCUCUUUUACCAGGGAUGAUAAUGACAGUACCUGAGAAUAGUCCGGUUUCCCCU